GACGAACCGAGCGAACGUUGUUCGGAAUCACUGGGCUUAAAGGGCGCGUAGGCGGGCCGCCGCGUCCGGGGUGAAAUCCUCCCGCUCAACGGGAGAACGGCCUCGGAUACGGGCGGUCUGGAGGGGGGUAGGGGCGUGCGGAACUGUGGGUGGAGCGGUGAAAUGCGUUGAUAUCAGGAGGAACACCCAUGGCGAAGGCAGCUAACUGGGCAUUAUCUGACGCUGAGGCGCGAAAGCGUGGGUAGCAAACAGG
RNAcentral lists this ribosomal RNA (253 nucleotides) under uncultured bacterium. Its description in RNAcentral is "partial 16S ribosomal RNA". It matches the Rfam family "Bacterial small subunit ribosomal RNA", at positions 524 to 776 of the family's 1533-position model. The record is from RNAcentral.